RNAcentral lists this ribosomal RNA (253 nucleotides) under uncultured bacterium. RNAcentral describes it as "partial 16S ribosomal RNA". It matches the Rfam family "Bacterial small subunit ribosomal RNA", at positions 524 to 776 of the family's 1533-position model. The record is from RNAcentral.
UACGUAGGCAGCGAGCGUUGUUCGGAAUUACUGGGCGUAAAGAGUGUGUAGGCGGUGCUCCCAGUCUGUUGUGAAAUCUCCCGGCUUAACUGGGAGGGUGCAGCGGAAACUAGAGUGCUAGAGGGUGGGAGAGGUAAGCGGAAUUCCUGGUGUAGCGGUGAAAUGCGUAGAUAUCAGGAGGAACACCUGUGGUGUAGACAGCUUACUGGACCUCUUCUGACGCUGAGACACGAAAGCGUGGGUAGCAAACAGG